AAUCAACGCUGGCGGCGUGCCUAACACAUGCAAGUCGAGCGGGAAAGGGGGCUUCGGUCCCUGAGUAUAGCGGCGGACGGGUGAGUAACACGUGGGUAAUUUGCCCUUGGGUGUGGAAUAACUCAGGGAAACUUGAGCUAAUACCGCAUGACAUCCCCUUCUCACAGGAGUUGGGGAUCAAAGCCGGGGACCCUUCGGGGCCUGGCGCCUGAGGAGAAGCCCGCGCCCGAUUAGCUAGUUGGNGAGGUAAUGGCUCACCAAGGCUUCGAUCGGUAGCCGGCCUGAGAGGGCGGACGGCCACACUGGGACUGAGACACGGCCCAGACUCCUACGGGAGCAGCAGUGGGGAAUUUUGUCAAUGGGGGAAACCCUGAACAAGCAACGCCGCGUGGAGGACGACGACCUGGUUGUAAC
RNAcentral lists this ribosomal RNA (414 nucleotides) under uncultured bacterium. RNAcentral's name for it is "bacterial SSU rRNA". It matches the Rfam family "Bacterial small subunit ribosomal RNA", at positions 32 to 429 of the family's 1533-position model. The record is from RNAcentral.